Molecule: ribosomal RNA, 492 nt
Filed under: uncultured bacterium
Lineage: Bacteria
Description: partial 16S ribosomal RNA
Rfam family: Bacterial small subunit ribosomal RNA
Source: RNAcentral
AUUGAACGCUGGCGGCAUGCUUUACACAUGCAAGUCGAACGGUAACAGGUUAAGCUGACGAGUGGCGAACGGGUGAGUAAUGCAUCGGAACGUGCCCGGUCGUGGGGGAUAACGCAGCGAAAGCUGCGCUAAUACCGCAUACGAUCUGAGGAUGAAAGCGGGGACCGUAAGGCCUCGCGCGAUCGGAGCGGCCGAUGUCAGAUUAGGUAGUUGGUGGGGUAAAGGCUCACCAAGCCGACGAUCUGUAGCGGGUCUGAGAGAACGACCAGCCACCCUGGGACUGAGACACGGCCCAGACGCCUACGGGAGGCAGCAGUGGGGAAUUUUGGACAAUGGGCGCAAGCCUGAUCCAGCAAUGCCGCGUGCAGGAAGAAGGCCUUCGGGUUGUAAACUGCUUUUGUACGGAGCGAAAAGGCUCUCUCUAAUACAGGGGGCUCAUGACGGUACCGUAAGAAUAAGCACCGGCUAACUACGUGCCAGCCGCCGCAGUAA